This 617-nucleotide long non-coding RNA is filed under the name Equus caballus (horse). RNAcentral describes it as "lncRNA (ENSECAG00000049316.1)". Lineage: Eukaryota; Metazoa; Chordata; Mammalia; Perissodactyla; Equidae. The record is from RNAcentral.
ACUGCACUCACUCCAUGGAUGCAAGCCCGGGCGAUGAAAGAAUCAACAUCCUCCUGGCAGGAGUCACUGGUGUCGGCAUGGAGACAUGACCCAGGACCAUACUGGAAUGACCCCAUCGGCUCUCCUGGGUCUCCAGCCUCCAGAUGCAGAUGGUGGAACUUCCCAGCCUCCGUAAGCACGAACCCAGUUACAGAAAAUCAGUCUUGGAGCGACUUGGGGUCGGGAUGAAGGAUGCAGUGCAGACCACGGUGCUCCUUCCCUUCUCUUUACUCCCCCUCUGCAGCAGUUUUUCCCCAGCCAAGGUCCUUCAAGAGGGUGGUGUCUGAUUGUUACCGUGUUGUCUGGGGACAGUGCCAUUCCCUGGGGAGGGCAGAGACAAGGAAAUGAUUACAAUGUGGAAGUGAGGACCUGUAUGGAUAUUCUCCUUAAGAAGAGACUUUGACUAUAUGAGUUCUGCUACCAAAGAUAAGAGAGGAAGAGAUGGAGAAGAAAUCAAAGGACGAACAGCCAAGCCAGCGUGCCAUCCAGAGAGUGGAUGCGUCUCCGAGAGCGAGCUGAGAGGCAGCAGCCUGUGCUCUGUCGUCUGCUCCCUUCCGUCCUCCGGCGGGUUGCUGGGC